UGUGAGCUAUUCUCCUUAAGAAUGAAAGAAGUUUCUUUUCCACAGGUGGAAUUGAAAGCAGUUUCUCCUGCAGAGAGGGAUUUGCACCCUUUGGAGGAAGCUCAGCAGCAGUGUCUGGGCUCAGUUUGGAGGAGAGCCUUGAAUCCACAGCAGUGAUUCAUUGUUGGCCACUCACAUGCAGGAUGGAGCUCUGGGAAAGGACACAGGUUUGUCUUGGCUCUGUAAAAUCCCCCAAAGCCAGCACAAUUUUCACAGCCAUUAUCUGUGGGGGGAACCUUCUCACCAGGUGCUUGGAGGAUUGUAGAGAGUUUGACUCAGUUGUUUCCUACAGAUUUCUACAAGAAAACACAGACAAAGCCCAGCAUGUGUGA
Molecule: long non-coding RNA, 371 nt
Filed under: Zonotrichia albicollis (white-throated sparrow)
Lineage: Eukaryota; Metazoa; Chordata; Aves; Passeriformes; Passerellidae
Description: lncRNA (ENSZALG00000010475.1)
Source: RNAcentral